GGAAGGAUCAUUAAUGAAUAACACUCGAUGGGUUGUUGCUGGUCUCUCGGGACAUGUGCACGCCUGUCUUUGUUCCAUUCAUCCACCUGUGCACCAUUUGUAGUCUUUUAGGGCAGAGAAUGAUUGUUAAUCAGUCGAGAGACUGGAUCAGAGGAUUGUAUGUGUGCGCAAGCGUACAGCUCUCCUCAGUAAUAAGAUUAUGAUCUCCUUUCAAGUCUAUGUUUUUGUUCAUAUACCACAUAGAAUGUCACAGAAUGUAUUCAUUAGGCCCUUGUGCCUAUAAAACUAUAUACAACUUUCAGCAACGGAUCUCUUGGCUCUCGCAUCGAUGAAGAACGCAGCGAAAUGCGAUAAGUAAUGUGAAUUGCAGAAUUCAGUGAAUCAUCGAAUCUUUGAACGCACCUUGCGCUUCUUGGUAUUCCGAGAAGCAUGCCUGUUUGAGUGUCAUUUAAUUCUCAACCCCCUCUGGCUUUUUUAGUUGGAUUGCGGGGCUUGGAUGGUGGAGGUAUAUGCUGGUCCUCACAGAGUAUCAGCUCCUCUUAAAUGCAUUAGCGGAACCGUUUGCGAUCCGUCACUGGUGUGAUAAUUAUCUACGCCAAUUGGGUUGCUCAAUGUUUGUUCAGCUACUAAUAGUCCCUUUUUCUGGGAUAACUUUCUGAACUCUUGACCUCAAAUCAGGUAGGACUACCCGCUGAACUUAAGCAUAUCAAUAAGCGGAGGAAAAGAAACUAACAAGGAUUCCCCUAGUAACUGCGAGUGAAGCGGGAAAAGCUCAAAUUUAAAAUCUGGCAGUCUUUGGCUGUCCGAGUUGUAAUCUAGAGAAGUAAUGCCCGCGCUGGACCGUGUAUAAGUCUCCUGGAAUGGAGCGUCAUAGAGGGUGAGAAUCCCGUCUUUGACACGGACUCCCAGGGCUUUGUGGUAUGCUCUCAAAGAGUCGAGUUGUUUGGGAAUGCAGCUCAAAAUGGGUGGUAAAUUCCAUCUAAAGCUAAAUAUUGGCGAGAGACCGAUAGCGAACAAGUACCGUGAGGGAAAGAUGAAAAGAACUUUGGAAAGAGAGUUAAACAGUACGUGAAAUUGCUGAAAGGGAAACGCUUGAAGUCAGUCGCGUUGGCCGGGGAUCAGCCUUGCUUCUUGCAUGGUGUACUUUCUGGUUAACGGGUCAACAUCAAUUUUGACCGCUGGAAAAAGGCUUGGGGAAUGUGGCAGCUUCGGCUGUGUUAUAGCCUCUUGUUGUAUACAGCGGUUGGGAUUGAGGAACUCAGCACGCCGCAAGGCCGGGUUUCGACCACGUUCGUGCUUAGGAUGUUGGCAUAAUGGCUUUAAGCGACCCGUCUUGAAACACGGACCAAGGAGUCUAACAUGCCUGCGAGUGUUUGGGUGGUAAACCCGAGCGCGUAAUGAAAGUGAAAGUUGAGAUCCCUGUCGUGGGGAGCAUCGACGCCCGGACCAGAACUUUUGGGACGGAUCCGCGGUAGAGCAUGUAUGUUGGGACCCGAAAGAUGGUGAACUAUGCCUGAAUAGGGUGAAGCCAGAGGAAACUCUGGUGGAGGCUCGUAGCGAUUCUGACGUGCAAAUCGAUCGUCAAAUUUGGGUAUAGGGGCGAAAGACUAAUCGAACCAUCUAGUAGCUGGUUCCUGC
Molecule: unclassified non-coding RNA, 1638 nt
Filed under: uncultured fungus
Lineage: Eukaryota; Fungi
Description: sequence contains 18S rRNA gene, ITS1, 5.8S rRNA gene, ITS2, 28S rRNA gene
Rfam family: Eukaryotic large subunit ribosomal RNA (bases 665-1638)
Source: RNAcentral